Molecule: non-coding RNA, 4367 nt
Organism: Marmota flaviventris (yellow-bellied marmot)
Lineage: Eukaryota; Metazoa; Chordata; Mammalia; Rodentia; Sciuridae
Source: RefSeq, a predicted model, not a curated record
CUCGUGGUGGAAAUUCAAGAACCUUCCAUUUCCAGCCCUGCGGGCCCAGCUCUACCCCAAGGACCCCUGCACAUCAGGGUUCUCUGUAAGAUGCCUCUUGAAGCCAUACAAAGCUGUGAAUCUGAGUGUCUGUUCAGCAGGAAGAAAGGUGGACUCUUACACCAGGUCCCUGUCACUCAGGCCCCAAGCAAAAGAUGGUUGCCAGCCUGGCAGCUCCUUUGAGGUCUCCUCUACCACCGCUCUCAGGAUGUAUCUGCUGAAUCCAUGCUGAAUGGAUGAGCCAGACGUCUCUGGAAGUCAAUGCUGACAUCCAGACGCUCUCAGGACCCCCUCAGAAAUAAGGUGUUUCAUGGACACGUGACCCGACAUGUCUUUGAUGUUCAUCAGGCUUCCCAGAGUCCUGCUCAUGUCCAGGGCGGAGCUGGUGUCCGAGUUGGAAAGGCUGUCCUGGAAGGAGAGAGAGAGACACGGCCGCUCCACCCUCCAUCAUGGGAGUCUCCAGCCGGAAGCUGCGCUCAGGGAUGACAGAAGCGUAACUCAGGAGGUGACUCUCAUUUCGGUUCCUGACCACUCAGUCUGGACUCCUGGCCACUGCUUUCUAACGAGGACCGUGCUCCGACCCUCAGAGAAGGCUGUGCAAUGUGUUAUACAUGGCUCGUCUGCUCUGAUGGCCUCUGUCUUCCCUCUAGAACAAGGGCUCGCAGUGGGCGUGACUCUGUCCCUUCCCCUGGGACAGUCAGCAAUGUCUGGACACCCUUUUUGCUGUCACGUCUGAGGAGGGGGAGUGCUACUGGCAUCUAGCGGGAAGAGGGCAGCGAUGUCACUACACAUCCUGCCAGAUGCCGGCCAGCCCCUCACAGACUGGGCAGGAAUGAUCUGCCCCAAAUAUCAGUGGUGCUGAGGUCGAGGGUCCCCAUCUGGACAACAAGCACUACAGGGACCAUGUCACUGUCUGCUCACUAAACUUCUCCUUGUGCCUAGGGUGGCACCUGACACCGAGUGGCCUGGUAUGGAUGGGCACAAUGUUGAAUGAAUGGAUGAAGGUUACAUAGAAAAUGUCCCCUCUCCUUUUAUUAGAGCAAUUGUUUCAUGCAGCAGGAGCGAGGCCUUCGGAAAGCAUGGGCAAGGGCUGUCCUGGUGGAGUGUGCGGCUGGUGGCCCAGGCUCCCUGCAGGCUCUUUCCUGGGAUGACACGCUCGCGGAGACCCCCGUAACUUCAGGCUGCUGAAAGCCCCUCCCCCAAAGCAAUGGGGAAGGCAUCAUGCCACAUGGGGAGUCUGGAGAGCCACCAAUGGCCACUCCCAAAGUCCUCAGAACCAGAUGGGCCUGCAGUGCUUGCUACGAACAUGGUGGACAUUUCACCCACAGCAUCUGCUGCACCGCCCUGUCACCCUCUGAGAUGAACAAUGGAAACCCCCCACUAUAAAGUAGAAAGGCCAAAUGUGACAGUGACAGGAGGGACAUAUUUACCUACGUCAAGUGGACAUAGUUACUAGGGUGAGAAAAAAGAGGGUCUGGGCAGAGCUAUGGAACCUUUGUCCAUUCAUUCAACAGUUUGAGCAGAUUGGCUGCAGAGAGAACCCAAAAGGCACCGUGGUGUCCCCAGCCCUCUGGAGUCCUUGACCUCCAGGCUCCUCCUCCUUCCUUCUCUGCAGACUAGGGGGCGGGGGCACCUGCCCGGGGUACAGUCCUGGCUCCUCGGUCUUUACCUCUGUGACCUUGCAUGAGCUACUUGACCUUCAGAAGCCUUAAUUUUUCAUAUCUCCAAAAUGGGAACAAUAACAACAGUGGUGCCCAGGCUGCCGGGAGGGGUGGACGGAGUAACGCCCGUGGACGGAGCCCUGGGCAUCGUCAGCUGUGCGUCCUCCGUGCUUUUCAUUUUAAUCACUGCCCGCCUUGGAGGACUGAGGUUCUCAAGGAGAGUGGGGAGGUUUCUGCUGUGUGGUGUCAGGAGUGGGCCUGGCGGUCACCUCCCAGGGCAAGGUCACUCUGGGAAGCAGGGUCAGGCUAUGAGGUCUAGUUGACCUCCACACCCAAACUCGGAGAAGGAGGGUUUGAUUUUAUCAAGAAAACCAAUUCAUUUCCAAAGACAUUCAUCCUGGACUCUAGGAAAUGUCACAAAAAUCUUUGGACGGAAUGUCGGCCCAGGCAGGAUGGCCUCAUUAUUUCUUCCAGAAGCCUGUGUGGGGUUCAGACCCAACUGUGCAGCAAGCGGCCACUCAGAAGGUCUUGUGGUUGAUGGUGACCUUGCUGCCCGUUGUCAUGUGCCCAUGGUGCCCAAACACCUACGUAGGGUUCAAGGGCACCUUCAAACCACCUCUGAAAAUCCUGGCAACCAAGCCUGUACCCCUUUCAGAAGGGCAGUUUUCCUUGAACACUACUGUUUAACUAACAUUGAACAGUGACGACAGCUGUCAUUUGUUAAAUGCGCACUGUGAGCCGGGCACUGGACAGGAUGAACUCCUUGGAUUUUCAUCAUCAUUCGACAGCUGGGAAAUACAAUCUCAGAGAGGUUAAGAGCCUUGCCCAAGGCCACCCAGCUUUCAGGCUGGGAUUUGGACAUGGUUCCCUCUGACCCCUGAACUUGGGUCUCAUCACUGUUCCCUGCUGCUACCUCUUACACGCCAUGUUUUUUAGUUGACAGGAAAGGAAACCUGAGGCAAACUCGGGUCAUAAUGUUAUGAAGUGGCCCACUGAGCGCUUCUGCCCCGGAGGACCUGGUGGGUCGAGGGCCCGUGUCUGCCCUCACGCCCACCCUCUUCGCGUGCCACUUCACCGCGGAGACAACUUUUCUUUGGUUACCGCGUGGAUCUCUAUUCUUGAGGGAGUUGGCAGGUCGGAUUUUGUGUCCACUAUUAUUUUCUGGACGUUUUUCUCCAUUCUGAGCGUCUUUAAUUCUAGGAACGAUUCAUUCAGGUGGUCCUUACAAUCUAUAAGAGAAAGAAUGCAGACUCAGGACGGGGCUCCUCCAGCGAAUCCCCACUGCUGCAGUCUGUGGGACACUUACCACGGGGCUGCGAGUCCUCAUGACCUCCCUGGCAGAUGGGGACACUGAGGCCUAGAGAGAUUACAUGGCCGGACCCAGCCGCGGCGGCAGCCACACAGUGUCAGGGCUGAGGCCUCGAGGGCGAGCUUCCAGACACAGGGACGAGGACGGGCUUGACGUGGGGCUUCAGGCCUGAGCCAGCGCCCCUGGUGCCCCGCGGGACAGUAAGCUCCCAGUCUGGAGACGGCCCCUUCCCCUGUGAAUGGGGUCUGCUAAGAGAUUCCCCGACGCUGACCCUCAGGUAGUGAAGUCCAUGACAAAGUCUCCUCCCGGCCACAGCGAAAUAAGGAGAAGGAGGACAAGGGUACUGAGUGAGACUGAGAAGCGGACAGACAGACUGUCUCUGGGACAGACGGGUGACAGACAUACUCCCUCCCCCACCCUCCUAGGCUCAUCCUGCCUCAUGCUGGAGACCCAAAAUCCCAGACAUUGCCACCAGCCCCGCAGUCCAGCAAACACAGGCAGAGUCCAGGGAACCUGGUGUGGGCUGGGCCCUGUGUGCAUUUCCCUGUCUCUGGCUCAGGGCCUGGCAUACAGGAGGUGCUCAACAGUUGUUGACUGAAUGAAUGGCUGGGUACUUGGGCUGCCUGGUCGUGUCUCCCGCCCACCUUUGCCCUGAGCAACAGGAGCCACAUCUGUCGCAGAGCUCUGGACAGCAACUGGAGCCAGCGCAGUGGGGGCAUCUGGAGCCCUAUUGUCUGAGCUGCCGUGGCCCGGGCUCUCGAUGCCUGUCAGGGGAAAGCAUCUCUGCUGACACAUCUGGCCCCAUUUCCAAGGGAGAGUCCACAGCCUGCUCUCUGGUUUUAUAAAGCCACGGGGAAAGGAUGAGUGGACUCCAGGAAGCCAGGGCUUCAAGGAACCAUGGCACCUGACCACCAUGGAAACAUCCCCGCACCAGCCUCAGGGUCAGAGUGAGGGCCAGCUUCAGGGACCACCGGAUGCAGGCUGUUGUCACUCAAAGACUCACUCCCCACUGGAUGUGCAGCUGAGACUUGUGGGCUGGCAAAGAUUCCUGGGUGGUUGUGCACAGAGGUGUUAUCAAGAGACAGCCAGGGGGCGUUAAUUGUGUGGCUCUUUGGGAAGACAGUUUGGUUCUAUGAAGCACAAUUGAGGAAGUCCUUUGGAUCCAGCAGUUGCACAUCUAGGAAUGUGCUCUACACACGCACGAGUACACUAACUACAGCAUCAUGUGAAAGAAGCAACCUAAAUAUCCAUCAGCUGGGAAUUGGUUGGAAAAAGGGGCAAAAUGGAAUUCUAUGAGGCCACUUAAAAGAAUGAGGCAGAACCUUAUAUACUUUCUUGAAAAUAUACCCAUUAAACAG